GAAAGUAGGGGUGCUAAUAUGGCUGAGAUAGAUAAUUUAUUAUCUAGACCCUUUGAACCUGAUAAGGCUAAUACCUGCGCAGGGAACUUUAUUC
This 94-nucleotide non-coding RNA is filed under the name uncultured Mucispirillum sp. Its description in RNAcentral is "TPP riboswitch (THI element)". It matches the Rfam family "TPP riboswitch aptamer (THI element)", at positions 6 to 96 of the family's 105-position model. Rfam says of the family: Vitamin B(1) in its active form thiamin pyrophosphate (TPP) is an essential coenzyme that is synthesised by coupling of pyrimidine and thiazole moieties in bacteria. The previously detected thiamin-regulatory element, thi box was extended, resulting in a new, highly conserved RNA secondary structure, the THI element, which is widely distributed in eubacteria and also occurs in some archaea. The record is from RNAcentral. Lineage: Bacteria; Pseudomonadati; Deferribacterota; Deferribacteres; Deferribacterales; Mucispirillaceae.